GUGUUCAUUUCAGCAGCACAUUACUAAAUUUGAACAGUGCAGAGGUUAGCUAUGGCUCCUAUGCAAGGAUGACAUGCAGAUUCAUGAACUGUUCAUUUUU
Molecule: small nuclear RNA, 100 nt
Filed under: Cervus elaphus hippelaphus
Lineage: Eukaryota; Metazoa; Chordata; Mammalia; Artiodactyla; Cervidae
Source: RNAcentral